AUGCAAGUGGUACGGAAUCCGAAAGGUGUACCGACCUUCGGGAGCUUGCACAGGUGCUGCAUGGCUGUCGUCAGCUCGUGUCGUGAGAUGUUCGGUUAAGUCCGCUAACGAGCGCAACCCUCGUCGUGUGUUAUACGUGUCACACGAUACUGCCGGUAUCAAGCCGGAGGAAGGUGGGGAUGAUGUCAAGUCAGCAUGGCCUUUAUAUCCUGGGCUACACACACGCUACAAUGGCAGAUACAAUAGGUUGCGAAACCGCGAGGUGGAGCCAAUCCUACAAAGUCUGUUUCAGUUCAGAUUGUAGGCUGCAACUCGCCUGCAUGAAGUUGGAGUUGCUAGUAAACGCAGGUCAGCUAUACUGCGUUGAAUACGUUCCCGGGGUUU
RNAcentral lists this ribosomal RNA (384 nucleotides) under uncultured Leptolinea sp. Its description in RNAcentral is "bacterial SSU rRNA". It matches the Rfam family "Bacterial small subunit ribosomal RNA", at positions 986 to 1382 of the family's 1533-position model. The record is from RNAcentral. Lineage: Bacteria; Bacillati; Chloroflexota; Anaerolineae; Anaerolineales; Anaerolineaceae.